This 327-nucleotide ribosomal RNA is filed under the name uncultured eukaryote. RNAcentral describes it as "partial 18S ribosomal RNA". It matches the Rfam family "Eukaryotic small subunit ribosomal RNA", at positions 1470 to 1796 of the family's 1831-position model. The record is from RNAcentral.
CCCUUAGAUGUCCUGGGCUGCGCGCGCGCUACACUGAUGUGUCCAGUAAGCACCUAACCUCUUCCGAAAGGAACGGGUAACCUUUGCAAAGCACAUCGUGAUGGGGAUAGAUUAUUGCAAUUAUUAGUCUUGAACGAGGAAUUCCUAGUAAGCACAAGUCAUCAGCUUGUGUUGAUUACGUCCCUGCCCUUUGUACACACCGCCCGUCGCUCCUACCGAUUGAAUGGUCCGGUGAAGCCUCGGGAUUGUGGUUGGUUUCCUUUAUUGGAGAUUGAUUGCGAGAACUUGUCUAAACCUUAUCAUUUAGAGGAAGGUGAAGUCGUAACA